Molecule: ribosomal RNA, 472 nt
Filed under: uncultured bacterium
Lineage: Bacteria
Description: bacterial SSU rRNA
Rfam family: Bacterial small subunit ribosomal RNA
Source: RNAcentral
ACUCCUACGGGAGGCAGCAGUGGGGAAUAUUGGACAAUGGGGGAAACCCUGAUCCAGCCAUGCCGCGUGUGUGAAGAAGGCCUUCGGGUUGUAAAGCACUUUCAGUGGGGAGGAAAGGGUGUAAGUUAAUACCUUACAUCUGUGACGUUACUCGCAGAAGAAGCACCGGCUAACUCCGUGCCAGCAGCCGCGGUAAUACGGAGGGUGCGAGCGUUAAUCGGAAUUACUGGGCGUAAAGCGUGCGCAGGCGGUUUGUUAAGCGAGAUGUGAAAGCCCCGGGCUCAACCUGGGAACCGCAUUUCGAACUGGCAAACUAGAGUCUUGUAGAGGGGGUAGAAUUCCAGGUGUAGCGGUGAAAUGCGUAGAGAUCUGGAGGAAUACCGGUGGCGAAGGCGGCCCCCUGGACAAAGACUGACGCUCAGGCACGAAAGCGUGGGGAGCAAACAGGAUUAGAUACCCUGGUAGGAUAGCG